Molecule: ribosomal RNA, 517 nt
Filed under: uncultured Acidobacteriota bacterium
Lineage: Bacteria; Pseudomonadati; Acidobacteriota
Description: bacterial SSU rRNA
Rfam family: Bacterial small subunit ribosomal RNA
Source: RNAcentral
UGGGGAAUUGUUCGCAAUGGGCGCAAGCCUGACGACGCAACGCCGCGUGGAGGAUGAAGAUUUUCGGAUCGUAAACUCCUUUCGAUCGGGACGAAUCGGCCGCGACCCAACACGUCGUGGCACUGACGGUACCGAGAGAAGAAGCCCCGGCUAACUCCGUGCCAGCAGCCGCGGUAAUACGGGGGGGCAAGCGUUGUUCGGAAUUACUGGGCGUAAAGGGCGCGUAGGCGGCCUGCUAAGUCGGAUGUGAAAUCCCUCGGCUCAACCGGGGAACUGCAUCCGAGACUGGCGGGCUCGAAUCCGGGAGAGGGAUGUGGAAUUCCAGGUGUAGCGGUGAAAUGCGUAGAUAUCUGGAGGAACACCGGUGGCGAAGGCGGCAUCCUGGACCGGCAUUGACGCUGAGGCGCGAAAGCCAGGGGGAGCGAAACGGGAUUAGGAUACCCCGGGUAGUCCCUGGCCCUAAACGAUGAGUGCUUGGUGUGGCGGGUAUCGGAUCCCUGCCGUGCCGAAGCUAACG